UGCGGAAGGAUCAUUAAUUGGACGAACAUGCUUCUCAGCACGAUGUUUCAAACCCCACCCGCGUAUCUUACCCGUUGCUUCCGUGCUGCACACGCCUGCGAAGGGGGGUGCCUCCUGGUCCGUGCUUCCGCGUACUGCGCGGCGGACCCCUGGGGGAGUCGGCACGGGAGGUUAACCGUAAAAAACCGUUUGCCUUUGAAUGUCUUCUGUCUGAACUGUAUUACGUAAAAAGUUAAAACUUUCAACAACGGAUCUCUUGGUUCUCGCAUCGAUGAAGAACGCAGCGAAAUGCGAUAAGUAGUGUGAAUUGCAGAAUUCCGUGAAUCAUCGAAUCUUUGAACGCACAUUGCGCCUCCUGGUAUUCCGGGAGGCAUGCCUGUUCGAGCGUCACUAAAAUCAACUCAAGCACUCCUGCAUGGUCGUGGGGGAAGAGUCCGUCUUGUUGCGGUCUCCCCCCCGAAAAUCAACGGCGGAAAGUCACUGGCACCCUGGCGUAGUAGUAUCGUUCGCUGAUCCACCAGUGUCGUUCCUGCCGGCAAAACCCCCCGCAAUUCAUCUUGAUUGACCUCGGAUCAGGUAGGGAUACCCGCUGAACUUAAGCAUAUCAAUAAGCGGAGGA
RNAcentral lists this ribosomal RNA (619 nucleotides) under uncultured fungus. RNAcentral describes it as "eukaryotic LSU rRNA". The stretch from base 237 to 390 matches the Rfam family "5.8S ribosomal RNA". Lineage: Eukaryota; Fungi. The record is from RNAcentral.